AACGAACGCUGGCGGCGCGCCUAAUACAUGCAAGUCGAGCGAGAAGACGUAGCAAUACGUUUGUAAAGCGGCGAACGGGUGAGGAAUACAUGGGUAACCUACCCUCGAGUGGGGAAUAACUAGCCGAAAGGUUAGCUAAUACCGCGUACGCUCCUUGGACUUCGGUUCAGGGAGGAAAGCGAUACCGUGGGUAUCGCGCUCUUGGAUGGGCUCAUGUCCUAUCAGCUUGUUGGUGAGGAACGGCUCACCAAGGCUUCGACGGGUAGCUGGUCUGAGAGGACGAUCAGCCACACUGGCACUGCGACACGGGCCAGACUCCUACGGGAGGCAGCAGUAAGGAUAUUGCGCAAUGGGCGAAAGCCUGACGCAGCGACGCCGCGUGGGGGAGUGAA
Molecule: ribosomal RNA, 392 nt
Filed under: uncultured bacterium
Lineage: Bacteria
Description: bacterial SSU rRNA
Rfam family: Bacterial small subunit ribosomal RNA
Source: RNAcentral